UUGGCUCAGGACGAACGCUGGCGGCGUGCCUAAUACAUGCAAGUCGAGCGAAUGGAUUAAGAGCUUGCUCUUAUGAAGUUAGCGGCGGACGGGUGAGUAACACGUGGGUAACCUGCCCAUAAGACUGGGAUAACUCCGGGAAACCGGGGCUAAUACCGGAUAACAUUUUGAACCGCAUGGUUCGAAAUUGAAAGGCGGCUUCGGCUGUCACUUAUGGAUGGACCCGCGUCGCAUUAGCUAGUUGGUGAGGUAACGGCUCACCAAGGCAACGAUGCGUAGCCGACCUGAGAGGGUGAUCGGCCACACUGGGACUGAGACACGGCCCAGACUCCUACGGGAGGCNNGCAGUAGGA
Molecule: ribosomal RNA, 353 nt
Filed under: Bacillus cereus
Lineage: Bacteria; Bacillati; Bacillota; Bacilli; Caryophanales; Bacillaceae
Description: bacterial SSU rRNA
Rfam family: Bacterial small subunit ribosomal RNA
Source: RNAcentral